GAUGAACGCUGGCGGCGUGCCUAAUACAUGCAAGUCGAGCGAACAGACGAGGAGCUUGCUCCUCUGACGUUAGCGGCGGACGGGUGAGUAACACGUGGAUAACCUACCUAUAAGACUGGGAUAACUUCGGGAAACCGGAGCUAAUACCGGAUAAUAUCUUGAACCGCAUGGUUCAAUAGUGAAAGACGGUUUUGCUUUCACUUAUAGAUGUAUCCGCGCCGCAUUAGCUAGUUGGUAAGGUAACGGCUUACCAAGGCAACGAUGCGUAGCCGACCUGAGAGGGGGAUCGGCCACACUGGAACUGAGACACGGUCCAGACUCCUACGGGAGGCAGCAGUAGGGAAUCUUCCGCAAUGGGCGAAAGCCUGACGGAGCAACGCCGCGUGAGUGAUGAAGGUCUUCGGAUCGUAAAACUCUGUUAUUAGGGAAGAACAAAUGUGUAAGUAACUAUGCACGUCUUGACGGUACCUAAUCAGAAAGCCACGGCUAACUACGUG
This 497-nucleotide ribosomal RNA is filed under the name uncultured bacterium. Its description in RNAcentral is "partial 16S ribosomal RNA". It matches the Rfam family "Bacterial small subunit ribosomal RNA", at positions 28 to 507 of the family's 1533-position model. The record is from RNAcentral.